AGAGUUUGAUCAUGGCUCAGGACGAACGCUGGCGGCGCGCCUAACACAUGCAAGUCGAACGGGAUACACUGGGAGCUUGCUCCUAGCGUAUCUAGUGGCGGACGGGUGAGUAACACGUGAGCAACCUGCCUUUCAGAGGGGGAUAACGUUUGGAAACGAACGCUAAUACCGCAUAACAUCAUUGGUCGGCAUCGACUGAUGAUCAAAGGAGUAAUCCGCUGAAAGAUGGGCUCGCGCCCGAUUAGAUAGUUGGUGAGGUAAUGGCUCACCAAGUCUGCGAUCGGUAGCCGGACUGAGAGGUUGAUCGGCCACAUUGGGACUGAGACACGGCCCAGACUCCUACGGGAGGCAGCAGUGGGGAAUAUUGCACAAUGGAGGAAACUCUGAUGCAGCGACGCCGCGUGAGUGAAGACGGUCUUCGGAUUGUAAAGCUCUGUCUUCGGGGACGAUAAUGACGGUACCCGAGGAGGAAGCCACGG
RNAcentral lists this ribosomal RNA (479 nucleotides) under uncultured Clostridiaceae bacterium. Its description in RNAcentral is "bacterial SSU rRNA". It matches the Rfam family "Bacterial small subunit ribosomal RNA", at positions 8 to 496 of the family's 1533-position model. Lineage: Bacteria; Bacillati; Bacillota; Clostridia; Eubacteriales; Clostridiaceae. The record is from RNAcentral.